GAUGAAGAACGUAGCGAAAUGCGAUAAUUAAUGUGAAUUGCAGAAUUCAGUGAAUCAUCGAAUCUUUGAACGCAUAUUGCGCUCUCUGGUAUUCCGGAGAGCAUGCUUGUUUGAGUAUCAGUAAACACCUCAACUUCCAUAUCUUUUUUGAAAUGGGAGUUGGACUUGAGUGAUCCCAACGCUUUUCCUCACCGAAAAGUGGCGGGUUACUUGAAAUGCAGGUGCAGCUGGACUUUUCUCUGAGCUAUAAGCAUAUCUAUUUAGUCUGCCUAAAAAACAGAUUAUUACCUUUGCUGCAGCUAACAUAAAGGAGAUUAGUUCUUGUGCUGACUGAUGCAGGAUUCACAAAGACAGCUUCGGCCGACUUUGUAAACUCGAUCUCAAAUCAAGUAAGACUACCCGCUGAACUUAAGCAUAUCAAUAAGCGGAGGA
RNAcentral lists this unclassified non-coding RNA (432 nucleotides) under soil metagenome. RNAcentral describes it as "partial contains 5.8S ribosomal RNA, internal transcribed spacer 2, and large subunit ribosomal RNA". The stretch from base 1 to 120 matches the Rfam family "5.8S ribosomal RNA", at positions 35 to 154 of the family's 154-position model. The record is from RNAcentral.